AAUUCUGUGAUAAGGAAAUUUUCAUAAUAAUUCUUUAAAGCUCUCACUUGCCUCAUACAAGGAUUCAUUGUCCAUUUGCUGGAAGGUAGUGAUCUUGUUUCACAACU
Non-coding RNA from Gossypium hirsutum (cotton), 107 nucleotides. NCBI's taxonomy places the organism in Eukaryota, Viridiplantae, Streptophyta, Magnoliopsida, Malvales, Malvaceae. The record is from Rfam.